RNAcentral lists this long non-coding RNA (320 nucleotides) under Elaeis guineensis (African oil palm). RNAcentral describes it as "long non-coding RNA (EGUI_LNC075150)". The record is from RNAcentral. Lineage: Eukaryota; Viridiplantae; Streptophyta; Magnoliopsida; Arecales; Arecaceae.
AGCUCACCCCUAUUAGAUAUGAAAAAAGCUGCGUAAUAUCCUCAACUAUAGCCACCGCUGCCAAAUGGCCCCAAUCCAUAGAUAGAGGGCAAAGGAGACCCCAAGAAAGCUCUUGAGUCCCUCUUGCUCUUUUCUUCCCAUUGUUCUCUGAUAAACUUGAGCGUUGGAGGAUUUCUGCUCGAAAUAAUUCCAACAAGGGACUUAUCGUAUAGAUUCGGUCUUCUCCCUUGUUCAGCUCGGUAAAGGCUUCCUUGUGCCUCGGAGUUACUAACGUAGAUGUCAUUUCGGGGACCAAUAGCAACAUAGAUCAAUAAAACGCA